CCUACGGGUGGCUGCAGUGGGGAAUAUUGCACAAUGGGGGAAAGCCUGACGCAGCGACGCCGCGUGAGUGAAGAAGUUAUUCGGAAUGUAAAGCUCUAUCAGCAGGGAAGAAGAAGACGGUACCUGAGUAAGAAACCCCGGCCAACUACGGGCCAGCAGCCCCGGUAAUAAGGCGGGGGCAAGCGUUAUCCGGAUGUGCUGGGUGUAAAGGGAGCGUAGACGGCAGUGCAAGUCUGGAGUGAAAGGCUGGGGCUCAACCCCCGGACUGCCUUGGAAACUGGACGGCUGGAGUGCAGGAGAGGUAAGUGGAAUUCCUAGUGUAGCGGUGAAAUGCGUAGAUAUUAGGAGGAACACCAGUGGCGAAGGCGGCUUACUGGACUGUAACUGACGUUGAGGCUCGAAAGCGUGGGGAGCAAACAGGAUUAGAUACCCCUGUAGUC
This 440-nucleotide ribosomal RNA is filed under the name uncultured bacterium. RNAcentral's name for it is "partial 16S ribosomal RNA". It matches the Rfam family "Bacterial small subunit ribosomal RNA", at positions 338 to 795 of the family's 1533-position model. The record is from RNAcentral.